UCACUUCAGCUUCCUCGAACUUCAGCCGCACCUUUUCCUCUUAGCCUCGGUUCUACGAGGUAACGUCGAGUUGAAUCAAUGAAACCCAUUACCUCUUCUUAAAUGACUCUUUCCUCCGAUAAAUUUCACAAAUUCUAUUUUCAGAAUUGAAGGAAGGUCAUUGCAGAGAAAAGGGGUAAGUUCAUGGGUGUUGACAUGGUUCUGAUUGACGGGAAGGUUAUCUGAUUCUCUUUAAUCUCUUGAGCAUCCAAAAAUUCAGAUUCGCUGAUGCCACUGUUUCAGUCAGAUUCAUAGAGCAAACAGGUUUCAUAAUUUCGACCAGCUAUUGUCACAGGCUAACACAAACACUGAAUUGCCAAUAACAUUGGGGGAGGUGCGGGGCAUAAGGACCACUUAGACCGAGGAACCCAAUCCACUCGACGCCUCAUGGCUGAAGCCUGAACUCAUUACUUGCUUCACAUAGAUCCCCUUAGCGGUUUGGUUGUUGUCGUCUGACACUGACCUUACGUCGUUUACAUGACAUCUAGCUUACAUCUUCAGGGACGGACCCGCAUGCAUAAGUGUAUUCGGCAACCUUGCGGAGCUCCUCGAUGAGGAAUUAGUAAUGUCAGGUGUGGAACCAAAGGUUGCUGUAGCCACCAAUAUCAACCCUAAAUUAGUUGGAGAGUUGGUCACCACAAGGUUGGUCUCGGUAGGAAGGUUCCUCCUCAACGUCUACAAAAUAUGGUGGUGUUAUGAAGAUCGAAACGUUAACACUGUCUGAGCUAAAUGCUUAUAUCACAUCUCCCCACAGGUGACCACUUUCACGUAACCCAUCUGUUAGUGUGUUUUUUGACCAACAGUUACUUUCACUUUCGUUGGUGCCUUAUCUAAAGUGUCCCUGAGAAAAAGAGCAAACGAGGAAAGAAAGCUUUCUUUUACAUGGUAUCUCACCAGAAUCAAUCUUGUUUGGACCGUGAGUAUCUCCAAACACAGAAUGUAUUGCAAUGAGGAAAGCAAGAUGAUCGUUGUGUAUGAGUAUAUGAAAAAGGGAAUGCUUAAAGACCAUCUGUAUGACUCGGAUAAUCCUAGGUUGAGCUGGAGACAGAAGCUUUAGAUAUGCGCUAAAGGGCUUCACUAUCUCCAUACAGGUUCCGCAAGAGCCAUUGUACGCUGCGUGUGAAGUAUGCUUCAGGUAAACAAUUAGGACCAACUCUUCUUCUAUAGAACCUGUUGAAGGAGCUUUACUCUUUACACAAUGUUAUAAUCUCUCUACCGGCCAUUGAAGCUCUCGACCCGAACCACAAACUGGUAGUUUACUAGAAUCACAAGAAGCAAACUCAAUUUGAAUAGAAAGACAACUUCAUAUCAUCAAACUGAUCCGUGGUUUGAGCAAACUUGAUGUAACAAAAGCUCCAAGAGCAACUCCGAGACAACAAGAGUGACUACGUUUUGGAUAGAUAGAGAACAUUUGUUUCUUUCAUUUCUUUUUUCUUGCAUUCAUCCAGAGUCUUUUGUUCUUUUUAUUAUCAUCAAAAUUUUCAGUAAACAAAUAACCUACCUUAGCGUUAUAAACGUAUAACUAGGAACAAUAAAUGUUGAUUCUUUCGCUAA
Brassica oleracea var. oleracea is the source of this 1593-nucleotide long non-coding RNA. RefSeq lists it as uncharacterized. The record is from RefSeq and is a predicted model, not a curated record. Lineage: Eukaryota; Viridiplantae; Streptophyta; Magnoliopsida; Brassicales; Brassicaceae. The transcript has 8 exons.